CCCCCGACUGUAUCUUGUUACGGUACGUCUUCCCAUGGUUACUUCGGUGGACGUGCCGUCACAAGAUGCAGUGCAAUG
RNAcentral lists this microRNA precursor (78 nucleotides) under Sycon ciliatum. RNAcentral's name for it is "microRNA sci-mir-7642 precursor". Lineage: Eukaryota; Metazoa; Porifera; Calcarea; Leucosolenida; Sycettidae. The record is from miRBase by way of RNAcentral.